This 845-nucleotide long non-coding RNA is filed under the name Equus asinus (donkey). Its description in RNAcentral is "lncRNA (ENSEASG00005026861.1)". Lineage: Eukaryota; Metazoa; Chordata; Mammalia; Perissodactyla; Equidae. The record is from RNAcentral.
CGGGGCUCGCUGUUACCUGCGGGAGGGCGGCGGGUGGCAGCCGGGGGUCUUGGCUCCGGUCCCCUCUUCGCCCCCUGUUGACACCAGCCACCCUCGCCUCCCCCGUGAGGCUCUGGCCACUACACCCACAGUCUUCCGAGGUCUGGUCCCUCUGACACCAUAGAGACAGGUGCGGAAACCGGACAGAACAGCAGCCUCCAGCCCUCCGACGCCACCACUGAGAGGAACGAACCCGGAACCGAGCUAGAGCGGCCACACAGCGCUCCUCAGGACGGUGCCAUCUUGAGUGUGGGCGCCGCGGACUGACCUCGCGUUUCACUCGCUCCUCCCAGCGGCCCAGUUGGUCUGCGAAGAUGUCCCCUCCCUUGGCCGUCGACUUGAAGGCGCAAUGUAAAUACUCCCACCAUGGCCAACUUCAAGAUACCAGUGUGACAUCACUGAAUGCAGAAUCAGGAAGAGAUGUGCUCCACCCAUUACAUGUAGACAUGCCUUCAGAUUCCACACAUGGUAACAAGAACUUGAUCAUAGUUGGUGUCCAAACUCUCAACUCCAGCAAACUAGGACCAGACAUUGGAACCUCGUAUCCAGGGCCAUCUGUGGCAGCCCUUCAGAGACGUGGCUGGGAAGCAUGUGAGCCUUCCCCGGGUCACACCGUACAGUCUUCAUUGUGCAUCAUUUUCAAAACCACAGUGCCACUUCCUGACCAGAGCCCUUCUAGCUAUUGCCUUGUUUUACCUUUACGAAGACUAUUUUCAACCUUAUUGCUUAGUUUCUUCCAAUAUGCCAGGCUCCAAAGUCAGCAGACCUGAGUUAUGCCCACUUUUGCUGCUCACAUCUGGAACAUC